UAGUGGGCUAGGCAGGAAGGAUAGCCGUCUUCCCUUGCGCGCAAUCGGCUUCAUGCGCGUGCCGAACACCGGAAACGAAGAACCAAAUCAGGGAUUGACGUCCGCAUGUUUUGCUGACCUUUCGUCCGGGAAGAUGGCCCUAAAGGAAGAACCCCGCCAGGCCCGGAAGGGAGCAACGGUAGGCCGUUAGGUUCAUGCUUCACGGGUCACGGAAGCGAGAAACACGUGGACAACCAUCAAUUCAUUUUUUGGAAACGGGGACCGGGAGCCCAUCA
This 275-nucleotide signal recognition particle RNA is filed under the name Candidatus Iainarchaeum sp. RNAcentral's name for it is "signal recognition particle sRNA". It matches the Rfam family "Archaeal signal recognition particle RNA". The record is from RNAcentral. Lineage: Archaea; Nanobdellati; Candidatus Iainarchaeota; Candidatus Iainarchaeia; Candidatus Iainarchaeales; Candidatus Iainarchaeaceae.